ACAGACGUAUGGCUGUAUGUUGUACAGGAUAGAACAUGGGAUCCUUGCUCAGGCGUCCUGCAGUAUUUCACACUCGAUUUGUUAAAGGCUCAUGUGAGACUUAACAACCCAAGAAAACCUGCUCGUCGUGGCCAUGCCCAUACAGGUCCUCAUUGUCCAUCACGGAGCAGCCUCUGCCUCCCGCCAUCAGACACACCAGAAUAUUCAGCAGCUUUAAAUAGCAGCUGCAGGCGGUUUUGUCCUCCUCAUCCAGAUGAUGCCGUCUGGAAGUUUAGAAUGCACGACAUUCACCCGUCUGCCAGACGGGAUCAUGGAUAUCCCACACCCUGGUGUGCUAGAAGCCUAUACUGGUGGGAAGAUCCCGAUAUUGGAUCUCGAGGCAGGGGUUAGGCUGCAAUGCUCUCUCCUGUAAAGCUUCUACACAUUUGGCCUCAUGCUAUUAAGUAUCAGAUCAAAGCAUUGUGGUGCUAAUGAGGGCAAGUGAAUUGUAUUCCUGUCUGAAGACUGCAGGCAUGAAGGCAGCAAGUCAGCUCCUUCCUCAUUUGCUAUAGAACACCCAGGCAGUGGGCUGAUAAUGGGAGAAAGCACUUCUGCCUAUGAACACUGGCCUGCAAGCUUGUGGCUAUGCUACUUGGCCGCCCAGCUAAAGCUUUCUGCACAGCAAGGGUAGGUUGUGAACAACAUGAUAGAUUAACUAGAAAGAAAUUAACUAGAGCUGAAAUGUGAAGGCCAAUCUCUUCCAAAGCACAGAGGUCAUCACCUUCAUUCCACAGGUGAUAGUCUCUUGUAUUGGGUACUGUAAGAGAGCGUGCACCCUCUAAUUGUUCUCAAAACAUGGUUUACAGUUUUAUUUAAAACACUGUCUGUGGCUUCAUUAACUGUAAGUCUUUGGCCCUCUCACUGAGGGGAAGACAUUUCCUGCCAUGUCCUUUUGAGCUGCUGUUUGUUGCUUGGCUGCUCCUUGUUUGUUUUGCUCUGCACGCUGCUUUCAGAUUCAUCUCAGAGGCAGGCAAUGCUCAAGGUGAAGUUGUUGCUUUGCUACCUUUUUUGCUGUUUAGCAGAUUUGAGCUGUGACUGGAAUUACCUUUCUGCUUAUGAAUUUCCUUUUCUAAGCCAAAUGCUCUUGGAGAAGGCCUCAGGUUAUCUCUCUCAAUGUACUAGCUGUUAUUUCUCCCAUGAAGUUAGUGCUAUAAACAGAAUAAUCUGGUGUGCUCCACUGAAAACAAACAUUCUCUGCCCGGUUCUACUUUUGGAGGUGGUGUGUGGUACAGGUACGGGCUAAGCUUCUUGGUAUGCAACCUUCUGAGAAGCUGGAGAACAGGGCGAGUCUCUGGGUCUGUUGUUCCCUGCUGGCCUGAUCUGCUUUGAUUCCUCCCCUGACUCUGCUGUUGUGACCCCUGCUUUGUGCUGCCACUGGUGCUGCUUGUGUCCUACACUGGUCAGUGUGCUACAGGCGCAGGUUUGUUGUUUUUGUUCCAUUGUUUUUGUAAUUUAAUGCAUUGACAGGGUGCUAACGUGCCAACCACCUGCAGGGCAAUUUCUGUGAAGAUCUGCUGAAGGGGACAGAAAAUAAUGUUGUGGGUUUUUUUUUAAUAUAUGUAUUUAAAAUUAAAUAUAUUUAAAUAUAUUUAAAUAGUUAAAGUGUAUUUUCACCUCCUCUAAGCUUUUACACAGAAAGAGUAGAAAGACGUAUUUUCACAGGCCCAGUCACUGCAUGAGCCACUCCUCUCUCAGACUGUGUGCCACUGGUUUCCUGAGGUACUAUGGUGAUAUGUCUCCCAUUCCCAAGCUGCCAGGAUAUAUUUCGAUCUCCAGCCUUCUGGCUGAGCAGUCCUUGGUUGAUGGGUGGCUAUCCUGUGUGCAGACUUGCUCUGCUUCCAGCUUCCUACGUGCUGCAUGCUCUCCAGCUCCAGCAUUAAAACGUUUGGGAUUGCUCUUUUUUUGUGCUGUUUCUCCAAUUGCCUCAGUUGUUCAUUUACAGCCCACUUCUUGCUGUGAUGUCUAUGGGCACUACACACUGUUCAGCGUGGUAGGUCACAGCUUCAGUGCUUUGCACACAAGUCUGGUUCCGGCUGCCCUGGGCUGUAAGGAAACCUGUGUCCCAGAAUGAAAGUAAAUGUUGGGAUUUAUUUUGGUGCUGUUGGAAUUCUGCUUGGCACUGAUGUCCAGUUUAAAUAAAUGAUGUGUGCAGCGUUGCUUGUACCUCACCAGCAGUGGGACAGUAGUUCAGCUGCCUGCCUACCUUUUCUGUUCUGGUAGCCUCGUGGAAGUAAAGAAGAGGAUCUGGGACUGAUGGAUUCAGACACUUGGUAAGAUUGCAGCUUUCCUGUGCAAAGCACUUGUGGUGUGAGGUACUCCCUGCCUAUGUUGUUAGGGCACUUGGACCUUGCCUGCACCCAGCAGCUUUCCUAACAUUCAGUAGGAAGGCUAAAUGUAUUCCUCAAAGCAAAGUAUUCCUCAUUUCUUACCCCUCCCCCUUAUAUUCCUGUCAGAAAGAGACCAUGUCCUCACAGAUGCUUGCCAUCAGCAUUUUUUGCAGAAGGACAUGGAGCUGGGUGUCCUUGAGCAGGCCUCUGCCCUGCCAGCUCCUCAUCUCCUACUGAUUGUUCACCCAUCACUGAAUGGGUCAGUUUGCACUUUCAGCCUCUUUUCAGCUGGUCUGUGGUACUUCUCAGGGGGCUUUUGGUUUGCUUUCAACAGCUACUGUGAGGUUCUAACUUCUUCAUAAUGUGAGCCUGCACGGGACAGCCUGAUGCCCAGCAAGGUGGCACAGAAGGGAGAACAGCUCUGAUGAUGCAUUAUGAACGCUGUUAUUCUACCUGAAUUUCCAGCUGUGCUCUUCUGUGUAUACUAUAGUAGUGAUACUGUACUAUAAUGCUGUAAUGUCUGAACGUGCUAGAAAAGCUCUACUUUUAUCUCAGAAACUUUUAACAAGUGCAGGGUAGCUAGGGGUUCAGGCAGGGUUACAAUGUAGGUGAGUUUGGCUGGAUCUCAGUAAUUUCAGAUUUGAAAAGUGGCAGUAACAGCCUUAUUAGGAGCCCACUGCCUUCCCCAGGAGAAGCGCCAGCCAUGGCUCUGGCCUUUGCCACCACCAUGUUCUGGUAGAAAUCAAUUUAUACCUUCUGCUGUCAGCCAAAGCAUAAAAAGCAGCUGGCUAAUGAACACAUUUAGCACAAACAGCAGUUCAUGGAAUUACCGCAGUCCUACUCUUGCAUCUCUUAGCCCCUCAAAAGUAGGGCUGCCGUGAUCCAUGCUGGGGGAGGCUUGACCUGUUUUCAGUCCAUUUCCCUCCAGGAAUGUAACUGUGGAUGGUUACAUCAAGAGCCCAGUGACCUCAGAGGCCUCUUCCCAGUAAUGCCAGUCAGUGAAAUGAAAAUGAGAUACUGAUGACAUCUAUGAGACACAUUCCAGUUGCCUCUCAGGUUUUGACUGGAGAUGGAGUUAGACUGUCUCUUCAGAGAGCUGUCUGCUGGCAGAGGCUAGGGCAGAGGGAUGGAGGGAACAAGAGCAGAGCAAGUCAUGCAAAGCAGGCAAAAGAAGGAGUGAUGAAAGCUGAAGUGCAUGCCUUAGAAGACAGAACUUGAGGGAACAAACACAGCUAGUCUGACCUACUUGGGAUCAAAGCUGACUUUGGAAUAGCGUGAUGGAAGCUUGAGGAGGUAAAUCUUAGAAGACUGUCAAGUCAGCCUGUUUUGUAGACUAACAGGCUGCCACUUAAGGUCUAGUAUUGCACAUGCAAUAAGGGGCAUACUCCUCCCCCAGCAACCAGAAGUCGCUCUGAAUGCUUCAGGACUGGCAGAAUCAGUCAAAACAAGUCUUUAAACAAGGAAUUAAUUUUUCUUCAAGUAAGGCAAGAAAAAACCAUGGGAUUCACUCUAGGUAACUUAAUCAAUUUUAAAUACUUCAGAAAGACUAGCCCAGCUGCACUGGGAACAGUUCACUCACAGCAGGAUGAGGCACUGUAGGGUGUUAAUGCAGAGAAGUGCUAUUGUUUGAGUGAGCAGAAGAGGUGGAGUAAGCAGGAACAGGUAAGAGGCCUGCACUGUUCUUGUAAUCACUACUGCUUGCGACAAGUGGUCCAAAGCCACCCAACCUGUGUCAUUCAUUAACAGGCUCAUAGCCACAGAGAGUACGUACAAUAAGGUCAAAGCCCCCUGCGCGACCUGGGUGCCAGGGAGCAGGUUGUACUGCAGGCAGGUAACGCACGCUCCACAGCCAGAGGCACACAGGCUCCUUCCUCAGCCAUUCUGUAUAAACGGGUACCAUUUCUGAUUUUAUUUCAUCAUAACAUACAGGUAAUGCUCAUGACACAACAAGAUGAGAAACUCACAUUGCUCUGAACCAUUUAAACAGCCUGCCAUACACCGAAGAACAUUAUAUUCAUACUGAACAUGUACACAUUUCCCCCUUGCAUCCUCCACUUCGCCUUCCAAACUUCUACAAACCAUUUCCAGCAUUGUUCAGGUACAGGACACGAGUUCAGACAGGAGACAGGGCACUACCCUGGGCAGGACAUGGGGUUAAGGCUUCCUCCUACAGGACCCCCUCCCCUAGCAAUACUGAGCCUACAGCUUUGAUUCAUUCGAUGACUGUAGCCUAUUGGAAAUCACGAGGAGCCACACAACCAGAUUUUGGUUCCUCAGGAGGUGAUUAACCAAAAAAAACCAACCAUAUGUAUCUGUACAGAGAGAAGGGGGCAGAACACACAUGUGCAAAAGGAGCACAAAGGACAGGAAGGUUCUGCCUCUAGGGAUUGAUUUGUGUUAACCCCCCAUUAACUGAUUUAAAUCAGUUAAAUCAGACACAGGCUUUCACUGAAAUCUGGCUGAGAGGAGCACUGCUAAACUGUUUACAUAUGUAUGUAUACACACACUGGAGUGUGUGUAUAUGCUGCAAAUGGUUGUAAUGUAAUUGCUUUCACUUGAUACAUAAACAAAGACAAGUGUCAGUACGUUUAAUGAAUAACCACAACCUGACAUGCUUUCCAGUGUGGUGUCAGCCUACACCUUGUCUGGACUACCUCUUCUUCCAGCAUCUUGUACACCCGGCAUGAACACAGCCACUGGGUUCAGUUACUCCUGGUGCUGCCUCUCUGUGCCUUUUGCACUUUUUAGGAUCGAGUUAAUUAAGGCUGUAGCUUUCAGUGCUAUUUUCAACAGUCCGCUGUAGGAAAUUAAAGUCACAUCCUAGCCACAAAACAAAACAAUGACAAAAUCUUCUGCACUUUUCAAUAGAGUAAAACCUGAGAUUUGAGUCACAAACUAGCUAAACUUACAGUAAAAAAACCAAACAUAACCCAAGCUGCUGACUUGAAUUAGGGCUUCAGUUUGCUGCUGAGAAUUUCUUUCUAAAGCUGUUGGCCAGGGGUAAGUAUUUAUUACAUGUGAAUUACAAUUUUCAGCUGCCUGCACUGAAAUGGGACAAAACAAUAUCAUUCCCCCUGAAUCACAUGUUCUGAGGGGUGAGAUAACUCAUGCAGCUCCCAUCAGAGCAGGAAGGAUGAAGCGUUAUGCUGUGCUUCUGGUAUCACCCAUUGCUGACUGUACAUCAGCUUGAGCCAUGGCACUGCAUGAGGGGUGAGCAGGAGGGAGGCAGCUGGUUUGCUGUCAGAAGCAACACAAGAAGGGCUGUGCCUCAUCUUGCAUGAACCAUGUAUUUCCUUGGGAGGUGAGGGCAUGAUACCAGCCAGCAUCAGUGCAGUGGGAAACCAAGACCCUGCACUGGGAUGGAGGACAAGAGCCAGGACUGAAUUCCUUGCAGCUGCUAGUGUGGGAGGCUGCAAAACAGAAAGCUGCCAAACUCCUUCCUCCUUUCGGAAUUAACAGGGGAAGCAACCUUGAGGAGUUAAAUCUAGCAUUACACACAUAUAAUUCAUCACUGGUAAAAUUAAAUAUAUUAAAAACAAAGCCUCUCUGGGGAUGUGUACAGAAGGUGAAUGUGCAGCCAUUAAAAGUGGCAUGUGAAAAAUUCAGAGGUGUACUUGUGUAUGUGUGCAUACACUAGCAAAGCUGCAGGUAAGCACAUGAAAACUAUCAAACAAAACUUGGGU
Long non-coding RNA from Pezoporus occidentalis (night parrot), 6049 nucleotides. RefSeq lists it as uncharacterized. NCBI's taxonomy places the organism in Eukaryota, Metazoa, Chordata, Aves, Psittaciformes, Psittacidae. The transcript is spliced from 3 exons. The record is from RefSeq and is a predicted model, not a curated record.